RNAcentral lists this ribosomal RNA (500 nucleotides) under uncultured bacterium. RNAcentral's name for it is "partial 16S ribosomal RNA". It matches the Rfam family "Bacterial small subunit ribosomal RNA", at positions 30 to 523 of the family's 1533-position model. The record is from RNAcentral.
AUUGAACGCUGGCGGCAUGCCUUACACAUGCAAGUCGAACGGCAGCGCGGACUUCGGUCUGGCGGCGAGUGGCGAACGGGUGAGUAAUACAUCGGAACGUACCCUGUUGUGGGGGAUAACUAGUCGAAAGAUUAGCUAAUACCGCAUACGACCUGAGGGUGAAAGUGGGGGACCGCAAGGCCUCACGCAGCAGGAGCGGCCGAUGUCUGAUUAGCUAGUUGGUGGGGUAAAGGCCCACCAAGGCGACGAGCAGUAGCUUGUCUGAGAGGACGAUCAGCCACACUGGGACUGAGACACGGCCCAGACUCCUACGGGAGGCAGCAGUGGGGAAUUUUGGACAAUGGGGGCAACCCUGAUCCAGCAAUGCCGCGUGUGUGAAGAAGGCCUUCGGGUUGUAAAGCACUUUUGUCCGGAAAGAAAUCGCGCUGGUUAAUACCUGGCGUGGAUGACGGUACCGGAAGAAUAAGCACCGGCUAACUACGUGCCAGCCGCCGCCGUAA